GAUGAACGCUAGCGGCAGGCCUAACACAUGCAAGUCGAGGGGCAGCGGGGACUUCGGUCCGCCGGCGACCGGCGCACGGGUGCGCACCGCGUAUGGAACCUACCUUCUACAGGGGAAUAGCCCAGGGAAACUUGGAUUAAUGCCCCGUGGCACCGUUAUAUGGCAUCAUAUUACGGUUAAAGCCUUCGGGCGGCAGAAGAUGGCCAUGCGUCCCAUUAGUUUGUUGGUAGGGUAACGGCCUACCAAGGCUACGAUGGGUAGGGGCCCUGAGAGGGGGAUCCCCCACACUGGUACUGAGACACGGACCAGACUCCUACGGGAGGCAGCAGUGAGGAAUAUUGGACAAUGGAGGAGACUCUGAUCCAGCCAUGCCGCGUGCAGGAAGAAUGCCCUAUGGGUAGUAAACUGCUUUUAUACGGGAAGAAAAAGGGGCACGUGUGCCCUACUGACGGUACCGUAAGAAUAAGGACCGGCUAACUCCGUGCCAGCAGCCGCGGUAAUACGGAGGGUCCGAGCGUUAUCCGGAAUUAUUGGGUUUAAAGGGUCCGUAGGCGGGCCGGUAAGUCAGGGGUGAAAGUCUGCCGCUCAACGGUAGAAUUGCCUUUGAUACUGUCGGUCUUGAGUUAUGGUGAAGUUGGCGGAAUAUGUAGUGUAGCGGUGAAAUGCAUAGAUAUUACAUAGAACACCGAUUGCGAAGGCAGCUGACUAACCAUAUACUGACGCUGAUGGACGAAAGCGUGGGGAGCGAACAGGAUUAGAUACCCUGGUAGUCCACGCCCUAAACGGUGCUAACUCGAUAUUUGGCCUAUACGGUUGAGUGUCCAAGCGAAAGCGAUAAGUUAGCCACCUGGGGAGUACGUUCGCAAGAAUG
RNAcentral lists this ribosomal RNA (871 nucleotides) under uncultured bacterium. RNAcentral's name for it is "bacterial SSU rRNA". It matches the Rfam family "Bacterial small subunit ribosomal RNA", at positions 28 to 896 of the family's 1533-position model. The record is from RNAcentral.